ACCCCAUUCUCCAGUGUAACGCAACUAACAUCCCGAAAUAAAUUCUGUUCUUAUCAGCUUAAUAUCUGAUACGAGUCCUAUUUGGACUCAAGAUAUUAAACUUAUUUUUGGAAUGCGGCGGAGUGCUUGAAGCUUGCUUCACCUCUGCCACGGGUUGGCCCGGUAUUGCAGUACCUCCGAGAUCGGCCCACUCCCC
Small nuclear RNA from Ornithodoros turicata, 196 nucleotides. RefSeq annotates it as U2 spliceosomal RNA. Lineage: Eukaryota; Metazoa; Arthropoda; Arachnida; Ixodida; Argasidae. The transcript has a single exon. The record is from RefSeq and is a predicted model, not a curated record.